This 407-nucleotide ribosomal RNA is filed under the name bacterium. RNAcentral describes it as "partial 16S ribosomal RNA". It matches the Rfam family "Bacterial small subunit ribosomal RNA", at positions 355 to 776 of the family's 1533-position model. The record is from RNAcentral.
UGGGGAAUAUUGGACAAUGGACCGAGAGUCUGAUCCAGCAAUUCUGUGUGCACGAUGAAGUUUUUCGGAAUGUAAAGUGCUUUCAGUUGGGAAGAAAAAAAUGACGGUACCAACAGAAGAAGUGACGGCUAAAUACGUGCCAGCAGCCGCGGUAAUACGUAUGUCACGAGCGUUAUCCGGAUUUAUUGGGCGUAAAGCGCGUCUAGGUGGUUAUGUAAGUCUGAUGUGAAAAUGCAGGGCUCAACUCUGUAUUGCGUUGGAAACUGUAUAACUAGAGUACUGGAGAGGUAAGCGGAACUACAAGUGUAGAGGUGAAAUUCGUAGAUAUUUGUAGGAAUGCCGAUGGGGAAGCCAGCUUACUGGACAGAUACUGACGCUAAAGCGCGAAAGCGUGGGUAACAAACAGG